AACGUAGGUUCCGAGCGUUAUCCGGAUUUACUGGGCGUAAAGCGCGUUCAGGCGGUUUGGCAAGUCGGGCAUGAAAUCUCUCGGCUCAACCGGGAGAGGUUGUCCGAUACUGCUGGACUUGAGGGCAGUAGAGGGUGGUGGAAUUCCGGGUGUAGUGGUGAAAUGCGUAGAGAUGUGGAGGAACACCAGUGGCGAAGGCGACUCUCUGGUCUGUAACUGACGCUGAGGCGCGAAAGCGUGGGGAGCAAACAGG
Molecule: ribosomal RNA, 253 nt
Filed under: uncultured bacterium
Lineage: Bacteria
Description: partial 16S ribosomal RNA
Rfam family: Bacterial small subunit ribosomal RNA
Source: RNAcentral